UACAGAGGGUGCAAGCGUUGUUCGGAAUUAUUGGGCGUAAAGAGCUCGUAGGCGGUUUGUCGCGUCUGCUGUGAAAACUCGGGGCUUAACCCCGGGCCUGCAGUGGGUACGGGCAGACUAGAGUGCGGUAGGGGAGACUGGAAUUCCUGGUGUAGCGGUGAAAUGCGCAGAUAUCAGGAGGAACACCGGUGGCGAAGGCGGGUCUCUGGGCCGUAACUGACGCUGAGGAGCGAAAGCGUGGGGAGCGAACAGG
Molecule: ribosomal RNA, 253 nt
Filed under: uncultured bacterium
Lineage: Bacteria
Description: partial 16S ribosomal RNA
Rfam family: Bacterial small subunit ribosomal RNA
Source: RNAcentral